UACGUAGGGGGCAAGCGUUGUCCGGAUUUAUUGGGCGUAAAGCGCUCGCAGGUGGUUCGUUGCGUCGUGCGUGAAAGACCCCGGCUCAACUGGGGAGGGUCGUGCGAUACGGGCGGACUGGAGGCCAGUAGGGGGAUGCGGAAUUCCGGGUGUAGUGGUGGAAUGCGUAGAGAUCCGGAAGAACACCGGUGGCGAAGGCGGCCUGCUGGGCUAUGGCUCGACACGUGAGGCGCGACAGCGUGGGGAGCAAACAGGG
This 256-nucleotide ribosomal RNA is filed under the name uncultured bacterium. Its description in RNAcentral is "partial 16S ribosomal RNA". It matches the Rfam family "Bacterial small subunit ribosomal RNA", at positions 524 to 777 of the family's 1533-position model. The record is from RNAcentral.